UACGUAGGGUGCGAGCGUUAAUCGGAAUUACUGGGCGUAAAGCGUGCGCAGGCGGUUUUGUAAGUCUGACGUGAAAUCCCCGGGCUCAACCUGGGAAUUGCGUUGGAGACUGCAAGGCUAGAAUCUGGCAGAGGGGGGUAGAAUUCCACGUGUGAGCAGUGAAAUGCGUAGAGAUGUGGAGGAACACCGAUGGCGAAGGCAGCCCCCUGGGUCAAGAUUGACGCUCAUGCACGAAAGCGUGGG
This 243-nucleotide ribosomal RNA is filed under the name uncultured bacterium. RNAcentral's name for it is "partial 16S ribosomal RNA". It matches the Rfam family "Bacterial small subunit ribosomal RNA", at positions 524 to 765 of the family's 1533-position model. The record is from RNAcentral.